UCAUGUGUGAUAGCCGGCAGGCGUUGCAUGGUCGGGGUUGUGGGACCUUCACGUACUUCUGCCGAAGUACACGUCGACUUGCGCGAUAUAGGUGAACGGCAUUGAAAGGCCGACCAUAGUGGGUGCCAGUCCCGUAACCGAAAUGUCGCGCAGAGGCGGAAGGGAUCCCAAGUAUCACGGGGCCCGAGAAAUCCCGUGUGAAUCUGCCAGGACCACCUGGUAAGCCUAAAUACUCCCAGAUGACCGAUAGCGGACAAGUACCGUGAGGGAAAGGUGAAAAGUACCCCGGGAGGGGAGUGAAAUAGUACCUGAAACCGUCUGCUUACAAACCGUUGGAGGGGCCCUAGUAGCCCUGACAGCGUGCCUUUUGAAGAAUGAGCCUGCGAGUUAGUGGUAUGUGGCGAGGUUAACCCGUGAGGGGAAUCCGUAGCGAAAGCGAGUUCGAAUAGAGCGAUUCAGUCGCAUGCCCUAGACCCGAAGCGAAGUGAUCUAUCCAUGGCCAGGUUGAAGCGACGGUAAGACGUCGUGGAGGACCGAACCCACUUGGGUUGAAAACCGAGGGGAUGAGCUGUGGAUAGGGGUGAAAGGCCAAUCAAACUUCGUGAUAGCUGGUUCUCUCCGAAAUGCAUUUAGGUGCAGCGUUGCGUGUUUCUUGCCGGAGGUAGAGCUACUGGAUGGCCGAUGGGCCCUACAAGGUUACUGACGUCAGCCAAACUCCGAAUGCCGGUAAGUGAGAGCGCAGCAGUGAGACGGUGGGGGAUAAGCUUCAUCGUCGAGAGGGAAACAACCCAGACUACCGACUAAGGCCCCUAAGCGUGUGCUAAGUGGGAAAGGAUGUGGAGUUGCAGAGACAACCAGGAGGUUGGCUUAGAAGCAGCCACCCUUGAAAGAGUGCGUAAUAGCUCACUGGUCAAGUGAUUCCGCGCCGACAAUGUAACGGGGCUCAAGCACACCGCCGAAGUCGUAGGAUUCGUAUUAUAGGUAGGCCUUCGUGGUCCAGCCGUACGGAUCGGUAGGAGAGCGUCGUGUGGCGAGUGAAGCGGCGGGGUGACCCAGCCGUGGACGCCACACGAGUGAGAAUGCAGGCAUGAGUAGCGAAAGACAUGUGAGAAACAUGUCCUCCGAAAGACCAAGGGUUCCAGGGUCAAGCUAAUCUUCCCUGGGUAAGUCGGGACCUAAGGCGAGGCCGACAGGCGUAGUCGAUGGACAACGGGUUGAUAUUCCCGUACCGGCGAAGAACCGCCCAAGCUAAUCCAGUAGUGCUAAGAGUCCUAAUCCGGCAGAUGGAUCCCUUCGGGGUGAAGCAGCCGGCCUAACGCUCGACCCCAUGCUGGUGCGGCUAGCGUAUUAACAGGUGUGACGCAGGAAGGUAGCCCAAGCCGGGCGAUGGUUGUCCCGGUGCAAGUGCGUAGGCUGAGAGAUAGGCAAAUCCGUCUCUCGUGACGGCCGAGACACGAUGCGGACCCGAAAGGGAUAGUGGGUGAUCCUAAGCUGCCAAGAAAAGCAUCGACGCGAGGUUCCAGCCGCCCGUACCCCAAACCGACUCAGGUGGUCAGGUAGAGAAUACCAAGGAGAUCGAGAGAAUCGUGGUUAAGGAACUCGGCAAAAUGCCCCCGUAACUUCGGGAGAAGGGGGGCCGGAUUGGUGACGGGAUUUACUCCCUGAGCCUUGAAGGCCGCAGAGACCAGUGGGAAGCGACUGUUUACUAAAAACACAGGUCCGUGCUAAGUCGCAAGACGAUGUAUACGGACUGACGCCUGCCCGGUGCUGGAAGGUUAAGAGGAGCGGUUAGCGUAAGCGAAGCUGCGAAUUUAAGCCCCAGUAAACGGCGGUGGUAACUAUAACCAUCCUAAGGUAGCGAAAUUCCUUGUCGGGUAAGUUCCGACCUGCACGA
Molecule: ribosomal RNA, 1894 nt
Filed under: marine metagenome
Description: bacterial LSU rRNA
Rfam family: Bacterial large subunit ribosomal RNA
Source: RNAcentral